This 636-nucleotide long non-coding RNA is filed under the name Phoenix dactylifera (date palm). RNAcentral describes it as "long non-coding RNA (PDAC_LNC001805)". Lineage: Eukaryota; Viridiplantae; Streptophyta; Magnoliopsida; Arecales; Arecaceae. The record is from RNAcentral.
GGGACAAAAUGGGAAUUUAAUAAUAUUAAACAAAGGUGAAUAGUAUCUUGAUGUGAUUUAAUUGGAGGGUUUGAGCUGGCUUUUGGAAUGAAACCGAGAGAAAGAGGGAGGGGGUUCUCAGGCGUGAAACAGAGAGGAAAGAAAGAAAGAAAAAGAGAAGAAGAAAGAAGAAGAGGAAGAGGAUUCGAGGAGGAAAGAGAUCCCGGUUACACUUCCAGCUGAAGGGAAAAACGUAGAUCUCCUUCUCCUCUACGCAAGGACCUCGAUUUCCAAAAAGAAAAAGGUAAAUGUCCAUCCCUAUCUAGUCUUUUGAUAACAUUAGGCUAUACAAAGGGUGAAUAUAGUCUAGAGGGGUCGGAUAAGGGUUGUAGAGGCGGUUAAAAGAGAAAGAAUCGGAUUUUGACAAAUUUUUCCGGCACUACGGAAAAACUGUGGCGAAGUCCCAACUUCGGCGAAUUAUUUAGGGGGUCAAACGACCUCCGAUAGCAAUGCAUGUUACCUCUUUGGAAUCCCCUAUGAGUGUAGAAUGUUAGGUAAAAAUUUCAUCAAAUCUGGAGUUUGGAAAGUGGAUCAAACCCGGGAUGAAGUAACCGGCUGUCGGUCCGGAUUACUGUUCAUCCGGGUGGAAAAUAAGGG